UCCUCUUAGGUUUUUUGGGUUCGGAAACAUUGAGUUCCCUUCGCGUUCACUCCACUGUUUUCAAUGGAUUGGUAUUCAGUAAGGAGAAAAGGAGAGUGCUUGGUGGAGUUGCAGAUCGAACUUGGUGAUGUCAAAGGGGUCAAGAUCUGUAACUUAUGAGUUAGGGGUGGAAACUUGUUUAAGAUUUGGGUUGGUUUGGGGAAAUAGAAGGAAUCUGGCCUGGGUUUUAGGAGUGUUCUACCUGGGUUCUUUGUUUUUGUCGUUCCAUUGGCUCCUUCACUAGAUUGUUCGAUUGCUAUCUAAUUUAUCAAUCCCAAUCGAGUAGCCGACGAAAAAGGCUAGCACUGCUUUUGUUCAUCUUUCUACUCAAAACCAUUUUCAAUUUCAAAUGGGUCUGACGCAAUGGGGAGCUCUUACUUCUUACACUCUCUCAUCUCGGCCUCUCCUACUCUCGAUUUCCCUAAUUUUCUUCGCAUGACCCAAUCCGCGAUUGUUCAAACUCUAUCUCCUUCCUAUUUUUCAUUCUCUUUCUGCAUAUCAAUGCCAAGAGAAUAAAAUUUAUAUAGGCUUGUGGAUUGUUGUUGAUUACACAGCUCAAGAAAUGGACAUCUGAUUCCUCUCAAAAUCCCGAAGAAAGAAAACCAGUUUUGUAAUUGCUGUUAAGUAUGGGAUUGUAGAUCCAAGUACUACAUCAAUUAUGGGAUUUGUUUGUUACAGAAACCCAGAGGAGAUCCCAUGGGGUCAGUUUGGUGCCGAUAUUGUUGUUGGAGUCUACUGGAGUGUUCACUGACAAGGACAAAGCCGCUGCGCACUUAAAGUGAGCUAGACAAUGGGAUUAAGAAAUCAGAAUUUUCAAGGAAUCCUAGAUAUCAUGACAUCCUUAUGGAUGAAGUAUAUCCUGCAAAAGAAUCUUGGUCCAGAAUGCUAUUUGGAAAGGAAAAUGUCAAGGGAAAGGAUAUCCUGGAAAUCAACCAUCCCGAAAGUCCUUUCGGCA
Rosa rugosa (rugosa rose) is the source of this 994-nucleotide long non-coding RNA. RefSeq lists it as uncharacterized. The transcript is spliced from 5 exons. The record is from RefSeq and is a predicted model, not a curated record. Lineage: Eukaryota; Viridiplantae; Streptophyta; Magnoliopsida; Rosales; Rosaceae.